GACGAACGCUGGCGGCGUGCUUAACACAUGCAAGUCGAACGGUAAGGCCCCAGCUUGCUGGGGUACACGAGUGGCGAACGGGUGAGUAACACGUGGGUGACCUGCCCCGCACUUCGGGAUAAGCCUGGGAAACUGGGUCUAAUACCGGAUAGGACCGCACCGUGAGGGUGUGGUGGAAAGUUUUUCGGUGUGGGAUGGGCCCGCGGCCUAUCAGCUUGUUGGUGGGGGAAUGGCCUACCAAGGCGGCGACGGGUAGCCGGCCUGAGAGGGUGGACGGCCACAUUGGGACUGAGACACGGCCCAGACUCCUACGGGAGGCAGCAGUGGGGAAUAUUGCACAAUGGGCGGAAGCCUGAUGCAGCGACGCCGCGUGGGGGAUGACGGCCUUCGGGUUGUAAACUCCUUUCACCAUCGACGAAGGUUUUCUGACGGUAGAUGGAGAAGAAGCACCGGCUAACUACGUG
This 464-nucleotide ribosomal RNA is filed under the name uncultured bacterium. RNAcentral describes it as "partial 16S ribosomal RNA". It matches the Rfam family "Bacterial small subunit ribosomal RNA", at positions 28 to 507 of the family's 1533-position model. The record is from RNAcentral.